Molecule: ribosomal RNA, 387 nt
Organism: Lupinus angustifolius (narrow-leaved blue lupine)
Lineage: Eukaryota; Viridiplantae; Streptophyta; Magnoliopsida; Fabales; Fabaceae
Rfam family: Eukaryotic large subunit ribosomal RNA
Source: Rfam
CUCAACGUGUCGAGUUUUGAUUAUUUCACCGAUCUGACCGUUAAUAUUUAAGAUCCAUCAAUUAGAAAGUUGGGUUAUGUUGCCCAACUGUGCACUAACCUAGACCCGCGAAGGGUGUUGGUUGAUUAAGACAGUAGGACGGUAGUCAUGAAAGUCGAAAACCGCCAAGGUGUGUGUAACAACUCAUAUGCCAAAUUAACUAGCCCCGGAAAUGGAUGGCGCUAAAGCGCGACCUAUACCCGACUGUUGGGGUAAAGUCUAGGCCCCGAUGAGUAGGAGGGCGUGGUGGUCGCUACAAACUUGGGGCGUGAGCCCGGGCGGAGCGGUUGUCGGUGUAGAUCUUGAUGGUAGUAGCAAAUAUUCAAAUGAGAACAUCAAAUGAUAUCA